UGUGGCACAGCACCCAAGAGAGCAGCAGUGACCAGCUCGGAUGUGCCGAAGGACAUCACGGACAUCCAGGGUUUGCUCUCUUGGAUCAAUGAGGUGGCAAGAGCUGUUGAGGUCCCCCGUGAGAACCCCAGCAACCCUGCCCCAGGAUGCUUCAUUGCUGAGCUCCCCGACAACCCCAGGGACA
Non-coding RNA from Meleagris gallopavo (turkey), 184 nucleotides. NCBI's taxonomy places the organism in Eukaryota, Metazoa, Chordata, Aves, Galliformes, Phasianidae. The record is from RefSeq and is a predicted model, not a curated record.